Molecule: ribosomal RNA, 520 nt
Filed under: uncultured Euhalothece sp.
Lineage: Bacteria; Bacillati; Cyanobacteriota; Cyanophyceae; Chroococcales; Halothecacae
Description: bacterial SSU rRNA
Rfam family: Bacterial small subunit ribosomal RNA
Source: RNAcentral
CAGCGUCCGGUAGCUGGUCUGAGAGGAUGAGCAGCCCACACUGGGACUGAGACACGGCCCCAGACUCCUACGGGAGGCAGCAGUGGGGAAUUUUCCGCAAUGGGCGCAAGCCUGACGGAGCAACGCCGCGUGUGGGAAGAAGGCUCUUGGGCUGUCAACCACUUUUCUCAGGGAAGAAGAUCUGACGGUACCUGAGGAAUCAGCCUCGGCUAACUCCGUGCCAGCAGCCGCGGUAAUACGGAGGAGGCAAGCGUUAUCCGGAAUUAUUGGGCGUAAAGCGUCCGCAGGGGGCACAUCAAGUCUGCUGUUAAAGGCUGGAGCUUAACUCCGGUAGAGCAGUGGAAACUGGUGUGCUAGAGGGCGACAGGGGUAGAGGGAAUUCCCAGUGUAGCGGUGAAAUGCGUAGAGAUUGGGAAGAACACCGGUGGCGAAAGCGCUCUACUGGGUCGCACCUGACCCUCAGGGACGAAAGCUAAGGUAGCGAAAGGGAUUAGAUACCCCUGUAGUCUUAGCCGUAAAC